This 906-nucleotide ribosomal RNA is filed under the name Haematoloechus longiplexus. Its description in RNAcentral is "eukaryotic LSU rRNA". It matches the Rfam family "Eukaryotic large subunit ribosomal RNA", at positions 100 to 631 of the family's 3401-position model. The record is from RNAcentral. Lineage: Eukaryota; Metazoa; Platyhelminthes; Trematoda; Plagiorchiida; Haematoloechidae.
GGGAAAAGCCCAGCACCGAAGCCUGUGGUCAUUUGACUACUAGGCAAUGUAUGUGGUGUUUAGGUCGUUCCGCGGAAGUGCUGCUCCACCCCAAGUCCAUCAAUCAAUGAGUACGGUAGUAUGGACAUGGCCCACAGAGGGUGAAAGGCCCGUGGGUGGGGGUGGAGAUUCGGUAGGACAGCGCUUCUCUGGGUAGACCUUGGAGUCGGGCGGGUUGUUUGAGAAUGCAGCCCAAAGUGGGUGGUAAACUCCAUCCAAGGCUAGCUAAAUACUUGCACGAGUCCGAUAGCGAACAAGUACCGUGAGGAAAGUUGAAAGAAAAGUACUUUGAAGAGAGAGUAAACAGUGCGUGAAACCGCUCAGAGGUAAACAAACGGGUGGAGUUGAACUGCAAGCUCUGUGAAUUCAGCUGAUGAGUGUGGUUUGUUUGAGCUUGGCUAUUGGUGGACAUUGGGGUCUGUGUAGUAGCAGGUCUUUCUUUGCCUUCGGGUGGAGAUGCGCGAUGCACUUAUCAAGUGUUGUGCGCCCCAGCCAGUUGUUUCCCGGCCAACUCGUCAGUGCACUUUCUCAGAGUGGUCACCAACCACGACCGGCGCGUUGUCUGGCCGCUUUGGUUAAACCGGUCUUGCAUCGUCCGUCCUUGUGGCUUUGGUCGGCGGGAUGGCAGGUAGCUCGUUGGCUUGCUUGUUUGUGGCUUGCUGCAGGCGUGGCUUUCGAGUGUAAUCAGCUGACCUUAGUGGUUGGUUCUGUGCAGUGUGUCGGAGACGGCGGCUUGAGGUGUGUGCAUGCGUUUCGUUCGGUUUGCUGACUUGUCCGGGUUUGGUUAUUUAGUUGCCUGUUAAACCAGGCAGGUCGUUUAAUGGCUCGGAUUCGUUCGGUGGACAGUUGCGUGUGUGGCAUUGAUUG